Molecule: RNA transcript, 1494 nt
Organism: Raphanus sativus (radish)
Lineage: Eukaryota; Viridiplantae; Streptophyta; Magnoliopsida; Brassicales; Brassicaceae
Gene name: probable low-specificity L-threonine aldolase 2
Exons: 10
Source: RefSeq, a predicted model, not a curated record
CUUCCGUUGCGGGCUGGGUCUGGGGAUCAACUACAUGCAAAGCAAAUGCCGCUUGGAAUAAAGAUUGGAAGAUGUUGGGUUUGGCUUGGAGUUUCACGGGAUCACCGAUUUCAGCGCCUAAGCACGAAUCCACAGUAUCCGGCAAUCCAGCACUUUGCAUCAAGAUGGUAACGCCAGUUAUAAGAACCGUUGAUCUCCGGUCCGACACGGUGACCAAGCCAACUGAGUCAAUGCGUUCAGCUAUGGCGAACGCGGAAGUAGACGACGACGUUUUGGGGAGCGAUCCAACGGCAGUGCUUUUGGAAAGAGAGGUGGCUGAGAUCGCAGGAAAAGAAGCGGCCAUGUUUGUUCCGUCAGGGACAAUGGGGAAUCUGAUAAGCGUUUUAGUCCAUUGCGAUGAGAGAGGGAGCGAAGUGAUUCUUGGAGAUGAUUCUCACAUUCAUAUUUAUGAAAACGGUGGCGUUUCAAGCCUCGGUGGAGUGCACCCAAGAACGGUGAAGAAUGAAGAGGAUGGGACGAUGGAGAUUAGUUCUAUUGAAGCUGCUAUGAGGAGUCCCAAAGGAGAUCUCCAUUAUCCGGUUACUAAGCUUAUAUGUCUUGAGAACACUCAAGCAAAUUGUGGAGGUAAAUGCUUACCUAUAGAAUAUAUAGACAAGGUUGGAGAGUUAGCCAAGAAACAUGGAUUGAAGCUUCACAUUGAUGGAGCUCGUAUCUUCAACGCUUCUGUUGCACUCGGAGUACCAGUGAAGAGGAUUGUUCAAGCCGCUGACUCUGUAUCGAUUUGUUUGUCGAAAGGCAUAGGUGCACCUGUCGGUUCGGUAAUCGUGGGAAGCAAAAGUUUCAUCACCAAAGCAAGGUGGUUAAGGAAAACCUUGGGUGGAGGAAUGAGACAGAUAGGUGUGCUCUGUGCCGCCGCAUUGGUGGCUCUCCGUGAUAACGUCGCUAAGCUCGACGAUGACCACAAGAAAGCCAAGAUCUUGGCAGAAGGACUGAACCGGAUUGAACGGUUAAGAGUGAACGUCGCGGCAGUGGAAACCAACAUCGUAAGUGUACAAAAUGAAUGGAAAAUUAAUUCACGAUUCGGAAUAAUACCAAGACAUAUAGGUUUAUAUAUACGUAGAUCUACCAAAAGAUCCCAAGUUUGGAGCUGAAGACGCAUGUAAGAGUUUGGAAGUUCUAGGUGUGCUUGUCAUACCUCAAACUACAUUCAGAAUCAGGAUUGUUCUGCACCACCAAAUCUCAGAUAGCGACUUGGAAUAUGCGCUCUCUUGUUUUGAGAAACUGUUUAGCUCGGUGCCAGAAGAGAAGGUUUGAUUUGAAGUUAUUCACGUGUUGGACUAUGUCAUAGUACUUGAAUCUAUUUUCUUGCUUUACAAAUUGAAAUAGUUUGGUCAAGCAAUAGACAACUAUCUUUAUUAUAAUCCAAGUUAUUGAACAAUUUAUGAAGUAAACUACUUUUACCUCGUUCUCUAAUAAAUUCGAAAUGUUAAGAUU